Molecule: ribosomal RNA, 253 nt
Filed under: uncultured bacterium
Lineage: Bacteria
Description: partial 16S ribosomal RNA
Rfam family: Bacterial small subunit ribosomal RNA
Source: RNAcentral
UACGGAGGGGGCUAGCGUUGUUCGGAAUUACUGGGCGUAAAGCGCGCGUAGGCGGACCUGCAAGUCGGGGGUGAAAGCCCGAGGCUCAACCUCGGAACUGCCUUCGAUACUGCGGGUCUCGAGUCCGAGAGAGGUGAGUGGAAUUCCUAGUGUAGAGGUGAAAUUCGUAGAUAUUAGGAAGAGCACCAGUGGCGAAGGCGGCUCACUGGCUCGGUACUGACGCUGAGGCGCGAAAGCGUGGGGAGCAAACAGG